GGAAUAUUGCACAAUGGGGGAAACCCUGAUGCAGCGACGCCGCGUGAAGGAUGAAGUAUUUCGGUAUGUAAACUUCUAUCAGCAAGGAAGAAAAUGACGGUACUUGACUAAGAAGCCCCGGCUAAAUACGUGCCAGCAGCCGCGGUAAUACGUAUGGGGCAAGCGUUAUCCGGAUUUACUGGGUGUAAAGGGAGCGUAGGCGGUACGGCAAGUCUGGAGUGAAAUGCCGGGGCUUAACCCCGGAACUGCUUUGGAAACUGUGCAGCUAGAGUGCAGGAGAGGUAAGUGGAAUUCCUAGUGUAGCGGUGAAAUGCGUAGAUAUUAGGAGGAACACCAGUGGCGAAGGCGGCUUACUGGACUGUAACUGACGUUGAGGCUCGAAAGCGUGGGGAGCAAACAG
This 400-nucleotide ribosomal RNA is filed under the name uncultured bacterium. Its description in RNAcentral is "bacterial SSU rRNA". It matches the Rfam family "Bacterial small subunit ribosomal RNA", at positions 358 to 775 of the family's 1533-position model. The record is from RNAcentral.